GAUGAACGCUGGCGGCGUGCCUAAUACAUGCAAGUCGAGCGAACGGACGAGAAGCUUGCUUUUCUGAUGUUAGCGGCGGACGGGUGAGUAACACGUGGAUAACCUACCUAUAAGACUGGGAUAACUUCGGGAAACCGGAGCUAAUACCGGAUAAUAUUUUGAACCGCAUGGUUCAAAAGUGAAAGACGGUCUUGCUGUCACUUAUAGAUGGAUCCGCGCUGCAUUAGCUAGUUGGUAAGGUAACGGCUUACCAAGGCAACGAUGCAUAGCCGACCUGAGAGGGUGAUCGGCCACACUGGAACUGAGACACGGUCCAGACUCCUACGGGAGGCAGCAGUAGGGAAUCUUCCGCAAUGGGCGAAAGCCUGCCGGAGCAACGCCGCGUGAGUGAUGAAGGUCUUCGGAUCGUAAAACUCUGUUAUUAGGGAAGAACAUAUGUGUAAGUAACUGUGCACAUCUUGACGGUACCUAAUCAGAAAGCCACGGCUAACUACGUG
This 497-nucleotide ribosomal RNA is filed under the name uncultured bacterium. Its description in RNAcentral is "partial 16S ribosomal RNA". It matches the Rfam family "Bacterial small subunit ribosomal RNA", at positions 28 to 507 of the family's 1533-position model. The record is from RNAcentral.